CCGGGCGUAGCGCAGUUUGGUAGCGCAUCUGCUUUGGGAGCAGGGGGCCGCAGGUUCGAAUCCUGUCGCCCGGACCA
Molecule: transfer RNA, 77 nt
Filed under: Clostridiales bacterium
Lineage: Bacteria; Bacillati; Bacillota; Clostridia; Eubacteriales
Description: tRNA-Pro
Rfam family: tRNA
About the family: Transfer RNA (tRNA) molecules are approximately 80 nucleotides in length. Their secondary structure includes four short double-helical elements and three loops (D, anti-codon, and T loops). Further hydrogen bonds mediate the characteristic L-shaped molecular structure. tRNAs have two regions of fundamental functional importance: the anti-codon, which is responsible for specific mRNA codon recognition, and the 3' end, to which the tRNAs corresponding amino acid is attached (by aminoacyl-tRNA synthetases). tRNAs cope with the degeneracy of the genetic code in two manners: having more than one tRNA (with a specific anti-codon) for a particular amino acid; and 'wobble' base-pairing, i.e. permitting non-standard base-pairing at the 3rd anti-codon position.
Source: RNAcentral